UGAGGAACAUGACCUUCGGCGGGGGAUAGCCGGCCCAACGGCCGGGUAAUACCGCGUACGACCACAUGGGGACAUCCCCGAGUGGUGAAAGCAGCAAUGCGCCGAUGGAGUGCCUCGCGGCCUAUCAGCUAGUUGGUGAGGUAACGGCUCACCAAGGCGACGACGGGUANCUGGUCUGAGAGGAUGGCCAGCCACAGUUGGGACUGAGACACGGCCCAGACCUCCCGUAGGGACGG
This 236-nucleotide ribosomal RNA is filed under the name uncultured bacterium. Its description in RNAcentral is "partial 16S ribosomal RNA". It matches the Rfam family "Bacterial small subunit ribosomal RNA", at positions 118 to 348 of the family's 1533-position model. The record is from RNAcentral.